GAUGAACGCUAGCUACAGGCUUAACACAUGCAAGUCGAGGGGUAACGAGAGGGAAGCUUGCUUUCCUUGUCGACGACCGGCGCACGGGUGAGUAACGCGUAUCCAACCUGCCCACAACUAGAGAAUAACCUUGCGAAAGUAAGACUAAUGCUCUAUAAUUUCCUUAGAUGGCAUCUGACGAGGAAUAAAGAUUUAUCGGUUAUGGAUGGGGAUGCGUCUGAUUAGCUUGUUGGCGGGGUAACGGCCCACCAAGGCAACGAUCAGUAGGGGUUCUGAGAGGAAGGUCCCCCACAUUGGAACUGAGACACGGUCCAAACUCCUACGGGAGGCAGCAGUGAGGAAUAUUGGUCAAUGGGCGCAAGCCUGAACCAGCCAAGUAGCGUGCAGGAUGACGGCCCUAUGGGUUGUAAACUGCUUUUAUACAGGGAUAAAGUUAGUCACGUGUGGCUAUUUGCAGGUACUGUAUGAAUAAGGACCGGCUAAUUCCGUGCCAGCAGCCG
This 500-nucleotide ribosomal RNA is filed under the name uncultured bacterium. RNAcentral's name for it is "bacterial SSU rRNA". It matches the Rfam family "Bacterial small subunit ribosomal RNA", at positions 28 to 517 of the family's 1533-position model. The record is from RNAcentral.